Molecule: ribosomal RNA, 253 nt
Filed under: uncultured bacterium
Lineage: Bacteria
Description: partial 16S ribosomal RNA
Rfam family: Bacterial small subunit ribosomal RNA
Source: RNAcentral
UACGUAGGGUGCGAGCGUUAAUCGGAAUUACUGGGCGUAAAGCGUGCGCAGGCGGUUUUGUAAGACGGAUGUGAAAUCCCCGGGCUUAACCUGGGAACUGCAUUUGUGACUGCAAGGCUAGAGUACGGCAGAGGGGGGUAGAAUUCCACGUGUAGCAGUGAAAUGCGUAGAUAUGUGGAGGAAUACCGAUGGCGAAGGCAGCCCCCUGGGUCGAUACUGACGCUCAUGCACGAAAGCGUGGGGAGCAAACAGG